Molecule: unclassified non-coding RNA, 858 nt
Filed under: Zea mays
Lineage: Eukaryota; Viridiplantae; Streptophyta; Magnoliopsida; Poales; Poaceae
Description: misc RNA Zm00001eb230810
Source: RNAcentral
CCUCCGAAAGGAAGGAAUAUGCUCCGAGCAAACAUCAAGUGGUUUAACAUCGCUGUCACUGUCAGCCAUAGUUAUGUGUCCGACUAAAUAUCAAUAAAUAGGCUUCCAAGCCACUCAAUCUGGUCACCUAUGACCACACAGUUGAUCAUAUCAUACAUUAACUAAUGUGAAUAUAACAUUUACAGUCAUAUGGUUCCCACUGAACUUGCAAGUGUGCAACAUCCAGGCAUAAUCCGUAAUUCCCUGAACAUGUAUGACAGGCAGUUCCAGUUUCCCUUGUCCUUCUUUCUCUUUCCCCUAGGUUACUAGUUUAAUAAAACCAAGGCAUGAACAACAAUUAUUCAGUGGUAAACCUAUCAGAUUGGGUUGAAGCAUGCCGCGGCCUGAAGAACGGAAGCCUGAAAUCACUUGCAAAGCACAGGUAAAACAUGGCAUGGAUACCCAACCCAACCGACGACAUGUCUUCAGACAAACAUGAGCACUAGUGAAGUAAGAGUACGUAUAUCCAGUGCUGGUCCAACCAAGCAAGAAAACCUGACCUGAAACUAGUUGCAUGUCUCUUUCAGAGUUUCAGUUCAACUACCUAGAACAGCAACUCUCACCAACUAUGCUCCGACAAGGCACAGUUUCUUUUUUGACUACCAAUAAUAAUAAUAAUAAACAACGUUGCAACAUGUCAGUUUCGCACCACCCAGAGUCCCAGACAAAAAAAAAAAACCUCCAAUCCCGGAUCGAAAUUGAAGGGAUCUUACGGCGAGAUUUCUCAGGAUUGAGGAACACGAGGCGUGAGGAAGGAAGGAAAGGACGGAGGACGGGAGGAGGACGUACCGAGUGGCCCGAGCGGCGAGUGCAGCGCGG